GAUCAUUACAAGUGACCCCGGUCUAACCACCGGGAUGUUCAUAACCCUUUGUUGUCCGACUCUGUUGCCUCCGGGGCGACCCUGCCUUCGGGCGGGGGCUCCGGGUGGACACUUCAAACUCUUGCGUAACUUUGCAGUCUGAGUAAACUUAAUUAAUAAAUUAAAACUUUUAACAACGGAUCUCUUGGUUCUGGCAUCGAUGAAGAACGCAGCGAAAUGCGAUAAGUAAUGUGAAUUGCAGAAUUCAGUGAAUCAUCGAAUCUUUGAACGCACAUUGCGCCCCCUGGUAUUCCGGGGGGCAUGCCUGUUCGAGCGUCAUUUCACCACUCAAGCCUCGCUUGGUAUUGGGCAACGCGGUCCGCCGCGUGCCUCAAAUCGACCGGCUGGGUCUUCUGUCCCCUAAGCGUUGUGGAAACUAUUCGCUAAAGGGUGUUCGGGAGGCUACGCCGUAAAACAACCCCAUUUCUAAGGUUGACCUCG
RNAcentral lists this unclassified non-coding RNA (480 nucleotides) under Cladosporium westerdijkiae. Its description in RNAcentral is "sequence contains 18S rRNA gene, ITS1, 5.8S rRNA gene, ITS2, 28S rRNA gene". The stretch from base 165 to 318 matches the Rfam family "5.8S ribosomal RNA". The record is from RNAcentral. Lineage: Eukaryota; Fungi; Ascomycota; Dothideomycetes; Cladosporiales; Cladosporiaceae.